Non-coding RNA from Betta splendens (Siamese fighting fish), 718 nucleotides. Lineage: Eukaryota; Metazoa; Chordata; Actinopteri; Anabantiformes; Osphronemidae. The record is from the annotation of a RefSeq genome assembly.
AGCCACUCCCUCCUUGAUGCAAAGUACAGUACAGUUACUUCUGUCCCGUGUGGAGCCUCAGACUCACAUCUUCAGCCUCACAGCAAUGAAGACUCUCACUGUUCUGCUGGCUGCUCUCUGUCUGUCCUGUUGUUCAGGUCAGAGCAUGGAGUCCAUUCCUUCCACUGCAGUAGUGAAGAAGCCUGGAGAGACCCUCAGUCUGUCCUGCAGAGGAUCUGGGUUCACAUUUAGUAACUAUGGGAUGCACUGGGUCAGACAACCUGCAGGAAAAGGACUGGAAUGGAUGGGGGUUAUUUGGUACGAUGCAAGUAAAACAGUUUAUGCCAGCAACGUUCAAGGACGCAUAGAAAUCACCAGAGACAACAGCAACAGCAUGACGUAUCUGAAACUGUCCAACCUGAGGCCAGAGGAUUCUGCUGUUUAUUACUGUGCGAGGCACCCACAGUAACACAGGCGUCCAGUGGAGCUGAACAAAAACCCCUCCGAGCCAAACAUUAGUAACAUGGAUCCACCAGAGGAGGAGCCUCAGACCAGGAAUGAGAGCAGUUCUCAGUUUAGUUCAAAAACAAUCUGCAACUCAAAUCGUCUUUUUUGUUUGAGUGCAGUCAUUUCUCGGUCUCAGCUCUGAAGCAGCAUAGAAGCAGCUGUCACAUAAAUAUGCUCAGUAAAACUAUUUUCAUGCAAACUAAGCUCACACUGUAUCAUGUGUGUCUAUGAG